GGGGGUGAACUGGCUUCGACUUUGAAGUGAGUCUCUCAGUAGCGAGUCGAGGGUCCUAGGGCCUCGUAAAAAACGUAGGAAAACAAUAUAACUGCC
RNAcentral lists this transfer-messenger RNA (96 nucleotides) under Acidimicrobiaceae bacterium TMED210. RNAcentral's name for it is "partial transfer-messenger RNA". It matches the Rfam family "transfer-messenger RNA", at positions 1 to 95 of the family's 374-position model. Rfam says of the family: Bacterial tmRNA, also known as 10Sa RNA or SsrA, is named for its dual tRNA and mRNA-like properties. Lineage: Bacteria; Bacillati; Actinomycetota; Acidimicrobiia; Acidimicrobiales; Acidimicrobiaceae. The record is from RNAcentral.